UACGAAGGGGGCUAGCGUUGCUCGGAAUUACUGGGCGUAAAGCGUGCGCAGGCGGCUUCUCAAGUCAGGGGUGAAAGCCCAGAGCUCAACUCUGGAAUUGCCUUUGAGACUGAGGGGCUUGAGUACGAGAGAGGUGAGUGGAAUUCCCAGUGUAGAGGUGAAAUUCGUAGAUAUUGGGAAGAACACCGGUGGCGAAGGCGGCUCACUGGCUCGUAACUGACGCUCAUGCACGACAGCGUGGGGAUCAAACAGG
This 253-nucleotide ribosomal RNA is filed under the name uncultured bacterium. RNAcentral describes it as "partial 16S ribosomal RNA". It matches the Rfam family "Bacterial small subunit ribosomal RNA", at positions 524 to 776 of the family's 1533-position model. The record is from RNAcentral.